CGUCGCAAGCCUCCCCCUCAGCUAUAUUUGUCCCUCCCCCAUCAUCUCUCCCCCUCUCUUUCCACUCUCUGUAUCAAAGCCUGGGGGAGCCAGUAGAGAUUAAAUGUAGCCUCUAUAAGCCAAGCACAUCAUGUAGCUAUGUUUCUAUGGCCUGCUCUCUCUCGCCCCUCUCUCUCGCUCUCUUUCUGCUCUCUCUCUCCCCUCUCAUUCUCUUUUUGAAGGAUAGUGUUAAUGAUGUCGGGCAUGUGUGAGGUAGUGAGGCAGUGAGUGAGAGAGAGUGAGAGCGAGAGAGAAAGAGAGAAAACGAGAGACGGAGAGGGAGGGAGGGAAAGUGAGAGAGAACGUAUGAGACAGAGGAUACAUGCAAGAAGAAAAUCAAGGAAAACUGAGGAUUUGUUGAUGGGAAACGGACUUAAAUAAAACACUGAAAAGGUGGAAAAGCAAGAGGCGGCCGACUUUCUUAUUCCUCCUCCUCCUCCUCUCCCUCCGCCUCCUCCUCCUCUCUCUCUCUGUCUCUCUCUGUCUCUCCGGCUGAUACAUCAGAGAAGUGGGCCUCUUGCUUUAAAUUAUUACAGCUGUACAGGCAAAUUAAUGGAUGAUAUUUCAAAAUUGAAUUGGAAAAGCAUUUUUUCAUCUCCUGCCUUUCAACACAGAUGCAUGAAGACGAGAGCGGGGGACCUGGGAUUCAGUUUUAUUUUUUCCUUUCGCCCUUCUUCCAAUUUUGCAUGUGUUUCUGUUCUGCACUGAGAGAGAGAGGGAGAGAGACAGAGUUAGAGAGAGAGAGAGAGAGAGAGAGAGAGAGAGGGGGGGGUGAAAGAAAAAAUGUAUCAAUGUUAGCGAGGGAAGCAGUACAGCAGCAACAUCCAUUGAUGCAUUUUGUCUUUUAAUUAGUUUGGAUAUUUUUUUACUCUUGUGCCAUAUAUGACAAAAAAAACUGUACAUUUUCUUCUAACCUGAACUGGAUAUGAAAUAGGGAUAUACAACCAAGUUAACAGCAGCGAAACAAAGCAACAAGGGGACAAGGGCUGCUGUCUCCUCAUUCCGAACCAGACGUGGUUCUCUCCCUUUCUUUCUCUCCUAUUUCUCACAGGCACACAUACACACAAACACACCGACAGAAAAAUGAACACAGGUACACCAACCAACUCUCUCCAGUCUCGCAGGUUUAACACUGAGAGGGGAAUGUGUAAUUAUUGUGAUUAAUGGAUAAUCUAUGAUAGGCUUUAUCUUUGGAUUCAUCUACACAGGCGCAUUCCCCUAUGGUUAUCCCAAAGAAUAACCCUUCUGUACAAUAUAGCCACAAUCUUGCACAGUAUAAGCACUCCUUCUAUUCAUGAUCUGAACCACUGGUAUAUCUGUUGCAAGUUGAUCUCAAACCACAUCCUUUAUCAUAGAAACAAGUCUGGUUUAGAUUAUCAACCAGUCUGAAUUGCCCUUAUUCAAAUCUUUCUGAUUUAAAUGUUUUUGUCAUUCCCAACAUUUCUUCAAUUGAUCUGAUAAACUAUUCAUGUGAAGGUCUGUUGAUAAACGCUAAUAAACCGUUAUCCGGCACUUUGUUAACCAACAUAUCAUGUGUGUGUAAACCAUGAACGAUAACUUUACUUACAGCCAGAGUGUAUAAUGCUUCAUUACUCGUUAUAAGAAUAAUGAGCCCUAGGGCCCUGUUUUGCAUAAUCAUGUGACAUGCCUGGUUUUUAAACGUUAUUUAAAGCCUUUUCAUCAAACUGUCCCGUUUUAUUUUUCAUGUCAGAUGGUCUGGAUAAUGUCUUAUUAUAAUACUUAGAAUAUGUUAUAUAUUUAUAUGCUGUAAAAAAAAAAUGGUCUGACUAAAAAUCGCUGUUAUUUAGUCAGAAUCAUUAUGAUAUUAUAAUAACACAAAGGAGUUAUUGUCUUAACCAUUUCAAAAUAGCUGUUAUUUAGUCAGUAUCAUUAUGAUAUUAUAAUAACACAAAGGAGUUAUAGUCUUAACCAUUUAAAAAUAGCUUACUAAUGUUUAAUAAACAAUGAUCAUUUGCCUAGCAAAGAAUACCCAAAUUCCCCUUUUUGAUGAAAAAGAAAGCAAGUUGUUUAUUAAUUAGAAUGUGUGAUGAACAUCUCCUGUGUUACUGUGGGUCUUCUGUCAGUCAGACAGUGAACAAACAGAAAAUAAGGCAUUUUAAAGAUUCAUGUUAUAUGAUCAAUUAUAACUAGCUAGUAGAUCAAAUCAAAUGUAUUUAUUUACUACUAUGAAUGGUUAAAAAUGGAGGCGUAAGCUACAAUAUGUACCUUAUGAUACUGUUAGUUGGUACGGAUGUUUUUUAAUCUGCUGCUGUGCUUUUGUUACAUAGUUUUUCCAUACAGAAUUAAUAAGAGUUGGCAAGUGGCCCAUUUUCUCAGUUCUUUAAAGAGAAAUCCCACAUGCCACGCCAAUGGUGAGAACAAGGUUUUGACAUCUCUGUCUCACACAUAUUAUGUGUGAGUGGGCGUUUUUUACAAGAACUGUCAAAGUUAACAUUUACGUUAUUUUGCAGACGCUCUUAUCAAGAGCAACUAGGGUUAAAUGCCUUGCUCAAGAGCGCACAUCAACAGACUUUUCACUUAGUCAGCUUGGGGAUUCAAACCAGCAACCUUUUUAGUUACUGGCCCAAUGCGCUUAACCGUUAGGCCACCUGUCGCUCUAACGUGUUAAUGACGCGUGAUAUCUUUAAUGUCAUUAAAUUCUUUGACGUCGUUAAUCACAUCUCCAUUUCUUCACCGCACAGACCAUUUUAAGCACACGUGUUUCUGCAUGGACCCCUUUAAGUGCAACACACAACACGCUCUGUGCUGUGUGCAGUGUGCAUACGGUCUCGGUAGAGCUGUCUGUCUCUGUGUUGUUCAAACAUCCACUAGCUUCUUGAUUCAACUAACUUCACACAAUGAAUUUAAUCAGAAAAGGACAUCCAUUCCAUGUAUUAACUGUUUUUGUUGUAAUCUCAGGUUAAAACGAUUUAUACAAAGUAUCCCAUUUCUAAUAGCAGCAUUGUGACUAGUCCAUGUUGAAGAACAUGGAUAAGUAGCCUAUGGCUGUAUUAUAUUUGACAUGAAGUUAGACAUGGCUGAUCUGUUAUUAUUGUCUUCUGUGGGAUUCAUACCAUUUUUGGACAGGUUUAAAUGCUCUUUGUUCUUUGUAUCCAUAGACCCAGUCGGUGUUAGAUGUGGUGACCCCACCUGGUGAGAAAACCUGUGGUUACCCCGUUGGCUAACUGCAAAACAGAAAUGUGCAAAACAGAAAUGUGCUCAUUACCAGUCGGUGAAAGAUAGAACGUCGCCUGUGGGGAACACUACCUGUAGUUACCUAGGUUACCCCAUCGGCUCACAGAAAAAGUUGGCCUUUUUCAAGCGCAAUUGUCUUGUUGUCUGCUUGUUUUAGUCAAUUACAACACUACAUUUAAGAAAACAUUUAAGGAUGACUUUUCAACAUUGCCUGCUCCCGAGCGUCCUCACUACUUAGAAAAUCAUAAUAUUGUAGGCCUUCCCUCAUGCCUCUUUUCAUGACGAUGCUAACAGCCACUUGAGUAAGUGAGUGCUAGCUAUCUACUGACCGGAACAUUAAGCUAGCUAAGACCAAGAACAUUAAGCUAGCUAAGACCAACAACACAAACAAACGGGCUAUGCAGCUACAAGUAGUGAGUGGAGUUACAAACAGACAGUACUAAACAAGUUAAAUGUCUUACCUGUGAUGACAUUUUUUCCACACACAUAGCUACGUGUAGCCUAUUUGUACACCACGUCCUCACAUUUUCCACACUCCCACACCGAGUAGCCUGAAGUGUGUGUGUGUGUGCGUGUGUGUGCACGCAAGUGUUAAACUUCAAGAACAUUGAUAAGAGGGAGUAGGUGUAUGUUACAGUGACUUUUGUGUUGUUUAUGGUGAAAAUGCUAUUUAAUCAUUCUGUUGUAGAUCCUUUUGUGUUGUUUAUGGUGCCAUUAAAAACCUUCUGAUGCAAA
Long non-coding RNA from Oncorhynchus masou masou (cherry salmon), 3969 nucleotides. RefSeq lists it as uncharacterized. The record is from RefSeq and is a predicted model, not a curated record. The transcript has 3 exons. NCBI's taxonomy places the organism in Eukaryota, Metazoa, Chordata, Actinopteri, Salmoniformes, Salmonidae.